RNAcentral lists this ribosomal RNA (418 nucleotides) under uncultured bacterium. RNAcentral's name for it is "bacterial SSU rRNA". It matches the Rfam family "Bacterial small subunit ribosomal RNA", at positions 356 to 773 of the family's 1533-position model. The record is from RNAcentral.
GGGGGAUAUUGCACAAUGGGCGCAAGCCUGAUGCAGCGACGCCGCGUGAGGGAUGACGGCUUUCGGGUUGUAAACCUCUUUUACUAUCGAACAAGGCACAGUCUUUUGUUGUGUUGAGGGUAGGUGGUGAAUAAGCGCCGGCUAACUACGUGCCAGCAGCCGCGGUAAUACGUAGGGCGCGAGCGUGGUCCGGAAUUAUUGGGCGUAAAGAGCUCGUAGGCGGCUUGCCGCGUCUGCUGUGAAAUCCCAGGGCUUAACUCUGGGCGUGCAGUGGGUACGGGCAGGCUAGAGUGCGGUAGGGGUGAUUGGAAUUCCUGGUGUAGCGGUGGAAUGCGCAGAUAUCAGGAGGAACACCGAUGGCGAAGGCAGGUCACUGGGCCGUUACUGACGCUGAGGAGCGAAAGCAUGGGGAGCGAAC